GAUCGAAUAAGACGAUGAAACCCUAAACCGAGAAGACGCCGCAAGCGAAUGGAGCUGUCGCUCUCUAUUGGAUUGGAUAUUUGUCAUUCGCAAUAUUAAAACGAAAGCCCAAUAAACUCAUAACGCCGUGAACAAAAACCUUACAAAUAUAAGCAUAAGAUCAAAGCCCAUCACGCUGAUGUUUAAGUGAUACAGUAUGUUUUGCGUAAGUGGACACGUGGCGGCUCCAGGACGCGCAACUUUCCUAUGUGGACGAUGACGUGGAGGCCUGUGAGAGAAGCAAACCAUUUUUAUAGUAAUAGAUUUUUCGUUGUGGUUUGGGCUUAAUUUCAUUAUGUCGAUGUGUUUUUGGGCUCGGAAACCAGAUAGCUUUAUGUUUAUGUGUGGAGGUAUCCCGAUAACCCAAUAGAGUUGAACCCUAAUGUGUUUUACGCGAAAAUGGAUCUUUCGGGUUUGUUUCUCUUUUUUGUUCGGUGGCUGACUUCUGAUCUUCAUCUCUAUCUCUGAAACGCUCAGUUAUGUCUUCUUCACGUCUUCAUCUCUUUGAUACUCCGGCGUUACAAUCAAAAUUCGUGGCCAAGUAUUGAUUCUUUUCAUCUUACCGCCGUAUUAUCUCCACCGAUUUAUGUAAAUUGAUUGUUAUCUGACCAUAUCAUGAUGGAAUCCAGCAUCUGUUUCUUAUCGUCUGGCUUUCUACUUACUGAAUUUGGCUGAUUCCAAGCGUCAUAUUUAAGGCACUCAUUAACAAUCUUUCCUCAAUUACUUCUUUCCUGGGCAUUCUUGACUAUAAAUAGUGUAUUGCAGGCGACCCUUAUGCAAGCCACCGUCAACGUACAAUUUGUCACCAUCACCGUCAAGCGGACUGUUCAGAAUCGUCAGAUGUAGCUUUGGUCAUUAAGGCGUUGAAAGAGCUGGAAAGAGACUGUAAACAAAGUUAAGAACAUGACGCACAAGACUACAAGAGUAAUAUUCUAUUAUUUUAUUGAGAUUGCUACGAUGGGGCGUAAAUAUAUUGCGAUAGAGCUGAGUGGGACAGUUAGGGAGAUUCUGGAAACAUGUGUCGUUGCUGGAUGCACUGUUGAUGGAACUGAUCUGAAGGAUCUUUGGCAGGAUAUUCAAGAAGGUGAGAUCAAUAUUCAUGAUUACCAAGGUAAAAAAAUGCACACAGAAAAAAAGAUUUUAUGGGUAUUGCAAAGAUGAUGUCUACUCUUCUACACAUUUUUAUAAGAGCUUUUGUACACUGAAAAAACGCUGAUGUAGUUUGAGAAAAGGAGUAGCAGAGCUAAGGGUCCGACCUUCCACCCCAGAAAACCAAAAAAUCUCACCAAUUUUCUCAGAGGUAGCAAUGGUAUUAUCUAAUGGGUUCGUUCGUUCUCAGUCUACAGAGUUUCUUCCUCUCAAAAUGUAAGAUAAGAAAUAUAUGUACAUGUUAAAAACUGCACACUACAGAGAUUUAUUGGAUUUUUAUAUGUUCGAUAUUCCUCCACUCAUAUCUUUGUAAAAAUAUUAUGCUUACAUUCAUAUGUAUGUGUUGAAUAUAUGAAUAGUCUUCUAGAUUUCA
Molecule: long non-coding RNA, 1561 nt
Organism: Brassica napus (rape)
Lineage: Eukaryota; Viridiplantae; Streptophyta; Magnoliopsida; Brassicales; Brassicaceae
Exons: 3
Source: RefSeq, a predicted model, not a curated record